GAUGAAGAACGCAGCGAAAUGCGAUAAGUAAUGUGAAUUGCAGAAUUCAGUGAAUCAUCGAAUCUUUGAACGCACAUUGCGCCCGCUAGUAUUCCGGGGGGCAUGCCUGUCCGAGCGUCAUUGCUGCCCUCAAGCACGGCUUGUGUGUUGGGCCCCGUCCUCCGAUCCCGGGGGACGGGCCCGAAAGGCAGCGGCGGCACCGCGUCCGGUCCUCGAGCGUAUGGGGCUUUGUCACCCGCUCUGUAGGCCCGGCCGGCGCUUGCCGAUCAACCCAAAUUUUUAUCCAGGUUGACCUCGGAUCAGGUAGGGAUACCCGCUGAACUUAAGCAUAUCAAUAAGCGGAGGA
Molecule: unclassified non-coding RNA, 346 nt
Filed under: soil metagenome
Description: partial contains 5.8S ribosomal RNA, internal transcribed spacer 2, and large subunit ribosomal RNA
Rfam family: 5.8S ribosomal RNA (bases 1-120)
Source: RNAcentral